RNAcentral lists this ribosomal RNA (275 nucleotides) under Clostridioides difficile. RNAcentral describes it as "partial 23S ribosomal RNA". It matches the Rfam family "Bacterial large subunit ribosomal RNA", at positions 2022 to 2295 of the family's 2925-position model. Lineage: Bacteria; Bacillati; Bacillota; Clostridia; Peptostreptococcales; Peptostreptococcaceae. The record is from RNAcentral.
CAACAACAGACUCGGUGAAAUUGUAAUUCCGGUGAAGAUGCCGGAUACCUGCGACAGGACGGAAAGACCCCAUGGAGCUUUACUGUAGCUUGACAUUGGGUCUUGGUACUACAUGUACAGGAUAGGUGGGAGGCUUUGAAACCAGGACGCCAGUUUUGGCGGAGCCAUCCUUGGGAUACCACCCUUGUAGUACUGGGACUCUAACCAUAGGCCAUGAAUCUGGUCUUGGGACACUGUCAGGUGGGCAGUUUGACUGGGGCGGUCGCCUCCCAAAG